UCCUUUGUUGCCAGCGAUUAGGUCGGGAACUCAAAGGAGACUGCCAGUGAUAAACUGGAGGAAGGUGGGGAUGACGUCAAGUCAUCAUGGCCCUUACGACCAGGGCUACACACGUGCUACAAUGGCGCAUACAAAGAGAAGCGACCUCGCGAGAGCAAGCGGACCUCAUAAAGUGCGUCGUAGUCCGGAUUGGAGUCUGCAACUCGACUCCAUGAAGUCGGAAUCGCUAGUAAUCGUGGAUCAGAAUGCCACGGUGAAUACGUUCCCGGGCCUUGUACACACCGCCCGUCACACCAUGGGAGUGGGUUGCAAAAGAAGUAGGUAGCUUAACCUUCGGGAGGGCGCUUACCACUUUGUGAUUCAUGACUGGGGUGAAGUCGUAACAAGGUAACCGUAGGGGAACCUGCGGUUGGA
This 414-nucleotide ribosomal RNA is filed under the name Salmonella enterica subsp. enterica serovar Virchow. RNAcentral describes it as "bacterial SSU rRNA". It matches the Rfam family "Bacterial small subunit ribosomal RNA", at positions 1108 to 1522 of the family's 1533-position model. RNAcentral also lists the same sequence under 5 other names. Lineage: Bacteria; Pseudomonadati; Pseudomonadota; Gammaproteobacteria; Enterobacterales; Enterobacteriaceae. The record is from RNAcentral.